Molecule: ribosomal RNA, 252 nt
Filed under: uncultured bacterium
Lineage: Bacteria
Description: partial 16S ribosomal RNA
Rfam family: Bacterial small subunit ribosomal RNA
Source: RNAcentral
UACGAAGGGGGCUAGCGUUGCUCGGAAUUACUGGGCGUAAGGGCGCGUAGGCGGCACUGUUAGUCAGGCGUGAAAGUCCUGGGCUCAACCUGGGAACUGCGCUUGAUACGGCAGAGCUAGAGGAUGGAAGAGGCUCGCGGAAUUCCCAGUGUAGAGGUGAAAUUCGUAGAUAUUGGGAAGAACACCGGUGGCGAAGGCGGCGAGCUGGUCCAUUACUGACGCUGAGGCGCGACAGCGUGGGGAGCAAACAGG